CCCCGCCCCGCCCCCGGCCCAGCGGCGUAUUGUUCGGCCCCGGGGGGAGCCGGCUCGGAGGUGCGCGCCGAGAGGAUCGCUAUGGAGACGCGAGGGCGCGGCCGGGACGGGGACUGGGGCCCUACUCCCCGGAGGCCUCCCCACCCAGCCUCCCGGUGGGGCGGGGCCGAGGCAACAGGGCCGGGAAAGGUGGGGCUGGGGCCCCCGGUGGCCGCUACCCGUGGGGCGGUGGCUCCGCACCUCGGGCUCGGGGCCGCGGCUCAGAGCCUGGCUCCCCACCCCGGCAGAACAGAUCCACGGAGACCGCCGCCAGGAGUGCCGCGCGGGUAGGACCCGGGGGCGGAGGACUGGGGCCGAGAGGCCGGGGAGCCCCCCCCCACCCAUUAAGGACUGCGGAGGCUGUCGAGGAGGGUUACCCAUUUUACAGCAAGACGCACGGAGGCUAAAAUGCUUCACCCCGACUAAAACUCCCUGGACUUUGAAGCCCAAUAGGCAGCUACCGGAUCUGCGUCCCACUUGGUUUAAAGCGCAACUUUUAAAUGAAAGAAGAAAACCCCGGUUGACAUAAGGGAUUUGGAGAGGACGGCGGAGGCGCGCUCAUCUCCCGCGUGCGGCCCGACCCGAGCGUUCGCGGACGCAUCGCGGAAUCCCCGAGCGUCCGGCUCCUCCCGAAGCGGGUUGCGGGGAAGGCGGGGGGCUGCGGGUCCUGGAAGCUGCCUGGGGCAAGCAAGCACCCGCAGGGAUUUAGAGCUGUGCCACAGCCCCUGCCCAGCCUCCUACGGAGGACAGCGGGGGGCGGGGGGCAGAGACCUUAGAGCUUUCAGAAAAGUGACACACACCCCCGCCUCCUGCGGGGAACCACGGGGGGCCGGGGGCAGCUUUAGGUUUGCGUGACGGGUACACCUGCCUCCGGAUGGGGCACAGGGAUAAAGGGGGUGGAGGCUUAGGACUUGGCGACCCCCCGCAUGGGCGGGGCUUUGGGACUGUGCCACCAGCGGCUGGGAAGGGCGCGCACUCCCUUGGUGGCGCUCGGGGCGCCGGAGUCCAGUGCAGCCCUUAGGCCUCCCAGUGGUCGGGGACGGUAGGUGGGGGUCGCCUCUUCUCUCCUAGAAGGGCUUCUCCUGGGGCCGGUCGGAGCGGUGGGGGUGGGAGUAAUGCGCAGUCACCCCUAGAACGGGUCUUUUUGGCAAGGGAGGGUCGGAUCCUGCAGCCAAAUCUCUGAGCUGAGCUGAGAUGAGUCCAGUCUCAACGAGGACCGUGGGCGGCUGUGGAGAACCGGAAGGGUUUCUCCCCCGGAGCGAUGUGUCUGUGUGUGUGUCACACGCAUACUCAGCCAACUUCGCUCAAAGCUGCUGAAACAGUGUCUUUGUGCUGAAGCCCAAUGUGAGCAUUUUCUUCCCAGUAGCAAGGAUUUGAACACGUUAUAUUGAUCUAAAAGGUGGAGUUGCUUUGGAACCUUUUAAUUCGAGGUUUCCACUGGAGAGUCCUGUUGGGAAAUGUGUGUGUGGAGGGAGGGGAGGAAGGAGAAAAGUCCGUCUCCUUAAUGUGAGCGGUCCAGGACCUCCCCACCCGCCAUAUACCCUUCCACUGGGAUUUUUCCGGGAAGGAUGAAAGGACAGGAGUUCUGGGGCCGGAAGGCAGGGCGGGUCCCUGAGCCCGGAGCCUCCCAGUGGAAGGCUACUGGGCGGACCUGAAGGGGACCCAGGCAGGAGGAAAAACCAGAGAACCCCAGGAGUGCCUGUUUUGCAAUAAGGCUUUAAGCAGAGUGGGUUGGGUUUAAAUAAACAAAACUCAGCUGCAGCCAGUGGGUUCAGGUGUGGGCCUGCUUUUCUGGAAUAAGGCACCUGCAGGCUGCGAGGUAACCACAGGGACUGCCCAACACCUAGGGACAGGGGAGGAUGGAUGAAUCUCACUAACAGGAUGUCCAGCAAAGACAAAAGAUCAUUCCAUUCACGCUUAGACCGACAGCAAGCCCGACUCCACCAUAACGUUUAGAGGUGUGCACAAAUAGGGGAAAGAUGAAGAAAAACAAGGAGGUGAUUAUGGGCACAUUCAGG
Molecule: long non-coding RNA, 2057 nt
Filed under: Homo sapiens (human)
Lineage: Eukaryota; Metazoa; Chordata; Mammalia; Primates; Hominidae
Description: LHRI_LNC757.1
Source: RNAcentral